This 382-nucleotide ribosomal RNA is filed under the name uncultured bacterium. Its description in RNAcentral is "bacterial SSU rRNA". It matches the Rfam family "Bacterial small subunit ribosomal RNA", at positions 30 to 410 of the family's 1533-position model. The record is from RNAcentral.
AUUGAACGCUGGCGGCAUGCCUUACACAUGCAAGUCGAACGGCAGCACGGGAGCUUGCUCCUGGUGGCGAGUGGCGAACGGGUGAGUAAUACAUCGGAACGUACCCUGAAGUGGGGGAUAACGUAGCGAAAGUUACGCUAAUACCGCAUAUUCUGUGAGCAGGAAAGAGGGGGAUCGCAAGACCUCUUGCUUUAGGAGCGGCCGAUGUCGGAUUAGCUAGUUGGUGAGGUAACGGCUUACCAAGGCGACGAUCUGUAGCGGGUCUGAGAGGAUGAUCCGCCACACUGGAACUGAGACACGGUCCAGACUCCUACGGGAGGCAGCAGUGGGGAAUUUUGGACAAUGGGGGCAACCCUGAUCCAGCCAUGCCGCGUGAGUGAAG